Molecule: small RNA, 317 nt
Filed under: Arabidopsis thaliana (thale cress)
Lineage: Eukaryota; Viridiplantae; Streptophyta; Magnoliopsida; Brassicales; Brassicaceae
Description: ATSL284950
Source: RNAcentral
UGGUUACCAAACCUCAAAGAAGAAGUGCAUAACCAAUCAAAAUCUUCUGUUAAAAGAUAAAUCUUACGCCGUUUUAAUGCUUUCUGCAGUCUUAGACUGGUUUGGAUCCCCUUCAAGAAUGUAUAUCAGCUUUUUGAUUCCCGAUCUCUAUUUAAAAUUACAAAUCAAGAAGACAGUGAGAAACAACCAUCAACGAAAGAUCGAAAACUUAGGAGUUGAGAGUACACUACACACACCUGAAGUCUAAGUUUUUGGUCCUUGUAGCGAUUAUCCAUAAUUGACGAGCGCAUAUCAUCAACGUUCUUCCUCUCAACAAU